UCCAAACCCAGGCGAGGACGACGACGACGACUACGAAGACGAGAUAAACUCACUGCUCCACCCACAUGGGCGAAGAAGGUUUGAAAACGCCGUAAAAGCGACAAAGGUCAGUUCAAUCCUGGAGAGGCAGACAAGACCUCGUGCUGCCAGAAGCCAAUAUCAUUGGUAUGAGCUCUGAUCUCUCGCUCGGCGGAGUUCUUUUUCUUGUUCAUAUCGCGCUUGAUGUUUAAUUCUUUUCUUUUUGUUUUUAUGCAAGUCAUUCUGGGGAUGAAUGCGGAGAAAAUGGAGAUGAUAGAGAGAUAAGAGAGUAUAGGAAGUGGGUGGUGCCUGAAAACGCUCUCAUCCUCCUCCUUCCCUUUUACCUCUCUUCUUAUCCCUUGACUGCUCUCGCGAAUGGCAAGUCGUACUGUACUUCUAAUUACUAUAUUUUUGGCCAUCUGGAUUAGCGCCCAUCCAAGAAAAGAAUCAAGGUUCAAGUUUUGAAUUUGUGUGCAAGGCGAACCCCAAGGAUGAUGAUCAUGAUUCUUGCCGUAUCUCGGAGUUCCCGACGACAGUAGCAGCGAUGCAUCUGUCCACUGCAACUGCGGAAGAACCAGAGGGUUGCGAUGUUUGCGGAGCCGCCACCGGCGCCGGGCAAAAAAAAGAACCGAAUACGAAAUCUUUCAAUACACGGUAUGUAUGAUUACGGAAUACAUACAGCGCUAAAAUGAAAAGAAAAAGAAAAAAGAAAAAGAAAAAAAACCACGGCACAACUGUCCCGAUUGGCUGGUGAUCUGACCCCACCCCCAGACGUAUGCCCCAAAAUAAUUCACACCAAAACUGCCCAUUGCUGGGGAUUGCAGUCAGUCGACUGUGAUCAGACCAAUACUCAAACAACACAGACGGACAGUACCGAGGCACCCAAGAAGGAUAC
This 913-nucleotide small RNA is filed under the name Histoplasma capsulatum var. duboisii H88. RNAcentral's name for it is "Histoplasma capsulatum H88 hypothetical RNA". The record is from RNAcentral. Lineage: Eukaryota; Fungi; Ascomycota; Eurotiomycetes; Onygenales; Ajellomycetaceae.